GUUUCUAAAACUUUAGCUUCUAAAUGUGAAAAAAUUCUUUUGUUUGAAGCUAACUUUUUAAAAGCGUCUACGGCUUCUCUAUGUAGAUUUUCAAAAGGCUUUUGUAAUUGAGAAUAAGACAAUUUAUUAAUAGAUUCAAGUUUAGAAUGACUUAUAUUCUUCUUCUUCUUUUUGUUGGCCACAAAGUAAAGCUUGACCGAUUUGUCACUUGAACUUGAGCUUUCAUCACUUGAAGAAUCACUUUCACUCUCCCAAGCAACAUAGACUCUUAUAGACUUGCUAGUUUUCUUGUGAUGGCCUUUCUAUUUGUCUUUCUUGAUCAAUGGACAAUCUGACCUAUAAUGACUGACUUUUCCACGACUGUAACAUGAACCUUUAUGUUUACCUUUCUUAUUAUCAUCUUCCUUUGAGGAGUUCGAUAGCCUUCUAAAGUUGAUUAAGUUCUUGUCGGAGUGCUUGAAUCCAUUUUUCAAAAACACAUUUUUCCAAACCACGCAAUUCACCCCCUAUUGUGUGAAGUCUCAAGUCUAAUAAGGACCAUGUCAGCGAUGAGAGAUUUGUAUUCUUCUUGGUUAUUGCUGGAUUUGAAUUCAAACUUCAGUGCUUGUUCAAUCAGUAUGUCUCCAGAAACUUCUAAGACUAUUUCAAAGCCUCCCCCCUUUAUGUUUGAGGAACCAUCGACCAAUAAUGUUGACUCUAAGGGCCUCUCCUCAUUUACCAGCGAACUAAAUUAUGCCAAAAUAACGUGCCAUAGCUUAUGACUUGAUGCUUCCUCAAAGGUCAUUUUAGAGCUUCAAAUUGAAGCUCUAAUGGGGAUCAUAACUUAGAACCUCAACCUUUCUCUCACUCAUUGUCGCAAAGUUUAAGAAGAAGAAGAGGAAAAGUGAAGCACAUAAGAAGAGAGAUAAGUACAUGAGUCGAAGCUUCAUCACCUUCACUCCAUCCUUGCCGGAGCCACCGUGUCAGAUGUGUUAUGGCUUCCAUCAUUGCAUCAAUCAAAGUUACCAGGUUGAAGAGCACACUUCAGAGAAUCGUGGCCCUCAAUCAAUUGCUGGAAUCCUUGCACCAUUGCCAUUUAAUUUCACCUAAAAGCUUCAGGGUUCAUCACUUUCAAGCUUCGAUCUAAACAAACGAGGAGGUUCCAGGGUUUUUCAGGGCCAUUUUUCAACUCAGGGUGAGAAGAGGAUUGAGAUGAUGUAAUUGUUGGUUAUUUCUGGGUUCUCCGCCGCCGCGGGGAGGCGAUGCCGGUGCGGAGGAGACGGUGAGGAUUUGUAAGAAGGGCAUGCGCACAUUUCUGAACCUCCCCCUUCUAUUUUUACGUGUU
RNAcentral lists this long non-coding RNA (1324 nucleotides) under Lathyrus oleraceus (garden pea). RNAcentral describes it as "Pisum sativum (pea) long non-coding RNA (PSAT_LNC004262)". The record is from RNAcentral. Lineage: Eukaryota; Viridiplantae; Streptophyta; Magnoliopsida; Fabales; Fabaceae.